This 73-nucleotide transfer RNA is filed under the name Candidatus Omnitrophota bacterium. Its description in RNAcentral is "Candidatus Omnitrophica bacterium tRNA-Phe". It matches the Rfam family "tRNA". Rfam says of the family: Transfer RNA (tRNA) molecules are approximately 80 nucleotides in length. Their secondary structure includes four short double-helical elements and three loops (D, anti-codon, and T loops). Further hydrogen bonds mediate the characteristic L-shaped molecular structure. tRNAs have two regions of fundamental functional importance: the anti-codon, which is responsible for specific mRNA codon recognition, and the 3' end, to which the tRNAs corresponding amino acid is attached (by aminoacyl-tRNA synthetases). tRNAs cope with the degeneracy of the genetic code in two manners: having more than one tRNA (with a specific anti-codon) for a particular amino acid; and 'wobble' base-pairing, i.e. permitting non-standard base-pairing at the 3rd anti-codon position. The record is from RNAcentral. Lineage: Bacteria; Pseudomonadati; Candidatus Omnitrophota.
GCCGAGAUAGCUCAGUAGGUAGAGCGAGGGACUGAAAAUCCCUGCGUGGGCGGUUCGAUUCCGUCUCUCGGCA